Molecule: ribosomal RNA, 349 nt
Filed under: Enterobacter cloacae subsp. cloacae GS1
Lineage: Bacteria; Pseudomonadati; Pseudomonadota; Gammaproteobacteria; Enterobacterales; Enterobacteriaceae
Description: bacterial SSU rRNA
Rfam family: Bacterial small subunit ribosomal RNA
Source: RNAcentral
AAAUUGAAGAGUUUGAUCAUGGCUCAGAUUGAACGCUGGCGGCAGGCCUAACACAUGCAAGUCGAACGGUAACAGGAAGCAGCUUGCUGCUUUGCUGACGAGUGGCGGACGGGUGAGUAAUGUCUGGGAAACUGCCUGAUGGAGGGGGAUAACUACUGGAAACGGUAGCUAAUACCGCAUAACGUCGCAAGACCAAAGAGGGGGACCUUCGGGCCUCUUGCCAUCGGAUGUGCCCAGAUGGGAUUAGCUAGUAGGUGGGGUAACGGCUCACCUAGGCGACGAUCCCUAGCUGGUCUGAGAGGAUGACCAGCCACACUGGAACUGAGACACGGUCCAGACUCCUACGGGA